RNAcentral lists this ribosomal RNA (389 nucleotides) under Thauera sp. R-28216. Its description in RNAcentral is "bacterial SSU rRNA". It matches the Rfam family "Bacterial small subunit ribosomal RNA", at positions 9 to 397 of the family's 1533-position model. Lineage: Bacteria; Pseudomonadati; Pseudomonadota; Betaproteobacteria; Rhodocyclales; Zoogloeaceae. The record is from RNAcentral.
GAGUUUGAUCCUGGCUCAGAUUGAACGCUGGCGGCAUGCUUUACACAUGCAAGUCGAACGGCAGCGGGGGCUUCGGCCUGCCGGCGAGUGGCGAACGGGUGAGUAAUGCAUCGGAACGUGCCCAUGUCGUGGGGGAUAACGUAUCGAAAGGUACGCUAAUACCGCAUACGCCCUGAGGGGGAAAGCGGGGGAUUCUUCGGAACCUCGCGCGAUUGGAGCGGCCGAUGUCGGAUUAGCUAGUAGGUGAGGUAAAGGCUCACCUAGGCGACGAUCCGUAGCGGGUCUGAGAGGAUGAUCCGCCACACUGGGACUGAGACACGGCCCAGACUCCUACGGGAGGCAGCAGUGGGGAAUUUUGGACAAUGGGCGCAAGCCUGAUCCAGCCAUGC